CAGACCUCUAAUCGGAAAAGACUACCCGCUGA
RNAcentral lists this ribosomal RNA (32 nucleotides) under Eurhynchiastrum pulchellum. RNAcentral's name for it is "partial 26S ribosomal RNA". The record is from RNAcentral. RNAcentral also lists the same sequence under 4 other names. Lineage: Eukaryota; Viridiplantae; Streptophyta; Bryopsida; Hypnales; Brachytheciaceae.